UUUUCAGGGGUUACAAAGCAUGAAAUAGUCUGAAGGACUUCAAAAGUUUUGACCUCAUAAUUGUUAACAGGAUAUUCUAUUACAUUUGUGAUUUUCAAGACAAAUUUGGAGUAUGUUGUUUGCAGCUGCUAGACUGUGUUCAGAGUUCUUCAAGAUCUCACUUUGGAUCCCUCUCGUAUCAUUUAUGUGUUUAAACCCAAAAGAAGGAGAAAUAGCAGAGAAGAGUGAAAAAUAAAGUCACAGUCGGGAAAGAACAUGCCUGGAACACCUUUUGGCAUCAAGCAUGAUCAUCACAUGCUGU
This is a long non-coding RNA of Tyto alba (common barn owl), 301 nucleotides long. RefSeq lists it as uncharacterized. The record is from RefSeq and is a predicted model, not a curated record. The transcript is spliced from 3 exons. NCBI's taxonomy places the organism in Eukaryota, Metazoa, Chordata, Aves, Strigiformes, Tytonidae.